This 43-nucleotide ribosomal RNA is filed under the name Strongyloides fuelleborni. Its description in RNAcentral is "partial 5.8S ribosomal RNA". The record is from RNAcentral. Lineage: Eukaryota; Metazoa; Nematoda; Chromadorea; Rhabditida; Strongyloididae.
UAAAAUCGUGUCGGUGGAUCAUUCGGUUCAUAGGUCGAUGAAG